This 1094-nucleotide long non-coding RNA is filed under the name Brassica rapa (field mustard). Its description in RNAcentral is "long non-coding RNA (BRAP_LNC005578)". The record is from RNAcentral. Lineage: Eukaryota; Viridiplantae; Streptophyta; Magnoliopsida; Brassicales; Brassicaceae.
GGGGAUGUUCUCUUCGUCCAUUACAGUGGACAUGGGACCAGGUUGCCGGCUGAAACUGGAGAAGACGAUGAUACCGGUUACGAUGAGUGUAUUGUUCCUUCUGAUAUGAAUCUUAUCACAGGUAAGUAAAAAAGACAAUAGGCUUAUAUACAAGACGAUUUUGAAAGCCAUAAACAAUUUAGUAAAAAUUUUUUUAACAAAUUAUUUUUAUAAGCGAUUUUGGUAAACAAUUUAGUUAUUUUACAUUUACUGACUUAUGUUCACAUAUAAAAACUAGAAAUUUUCUAGAGAUCCAAAGCUUAUGUUUCCUUUAGUUAUGUCCAAGACCGGCUUUGCUUAUAUGUUGAUAACUGAUGGAUAUGUGGAAUUUUAUAGGCUUAUUCGGUUUUGAAUUAAUUAUAAAUUCAUAUAAAUUAAACAUCUUUUUGAAAAAAAGUUUCGGUACAGGAGAUAGUAAUGAAUAUAUUUGGAUAACCUUUUAUGUUGGAAUCUAAUUUUUAUUUUGUGACGACUCUGUUUACAGAUGAUGAUUUUAGGGAUCUUGUGGAUAUGGCACCGAAGGAUUGUCCCAUUACAAUAGUUUCAGACUCUUGUCACAGUGGUGGUCUCAUCGAUGAAGCCAAAGAGCAGAUUGGAGAGAGCACAAAGAAGAAGAAGAAGAAAGACUCUGGAGAAUCUUCAAGAACCAACAAGGAGACAGGAGUAGAGGAGACAGAGACCAAAGAGAUUACUGAUUUGGGGAGCAGAUCUCUGCCAUUAGAGACUUUGAUCGAUAUGCUGAAGCAAGAAACAGGCAAAGAUGAUAUCGAAGUAGGGAAAAUCAGAACAACUCUUUUCGAUAUGUUUGGAGAAGAUUCAAGCCCAAAGGUGCAGAAGUUCAUGAAUGUGAUUCUAAGUAACCUACAAGAGACUACCACUGGUCAGACUAGUCAAGGUGAUAUAUUGGAAUCAGUUGCAAACCUAACUCAAGAGUUUCUUGAGCAGAAGAUAAAUGAUGUUGUGAUACCUGCGAUCCACGAGGUCUAUGCUGGUGCAAUCAAUGGUGCACUUCCGGAUAAUGGUAUACUGAUCAGUGGUUGUCAAACUGAUCAAAC